AUUUUACCUUAAUUUAACCAGGCAUUCUUAUUUUCAAUGACGGCCUGGGAACAGUGGGUUAACUGACUGUUCAGGGGCAGAACAACAGAUUUGUACCUUGUCAGCUCGGGGGUUUGAACUCACAACCUUCCGGUUUCUAGUCCAACGCUCUAACCACUAGGCUACCAUCCAGCUAAUUAUUAUAAUCAAUUGCGCUCUACAGGGGGUUUUCCAGAAAGAUAGUUUAACAAAUUCAGGAUUCCCUGAACAUAUCUGUCUUUCCUUAACCAGAUGAGGGAGUCUAGGAUUUCUUGGUUCCAGAUUGGUUGCUUCUCUUUUAAGUAAUUAGGCUAACCAAGCGCAGAUUGGUUGCUUCUCUUUUAAGUAAUUAGGCUAACCAAGCGCAGAUUGGUUGCUUCUCUUUUAAGUAAUUAGGCUAACCAAGCGCAGAUUGGUUGCUUCUCUUUUAAGUAAUUAGGCUAACCAAGCGCAGAUUGGUUGCUUCUCUUUUAAGUAAUUAGGCUAACCAAGCGCAGAUUGGUUGAUCUGACAACUGGCGCAUGUAUGCAACGUUCAAAAAGGUCCUUGUGUCAAUGACAGAAAAAAUGUCAGAUAUUGAGUCAAAAGACUAGAGUCCACAACAAGAAAUCAUUUUGACAAUGAAUAUGUUAACAUAUUUACCCCCCAAAAAGUAAUACAGCAGCAAAAGCCAGAGAGGUAGCCUGGCAGAAAAUUGCAAACAGAAUAAAUGUUUAAGUGAAGUGGCAGGAUUCCAAUAUCUAAUAGACCUAGCAUACACACAUGGGUGCUUUAUUAAUCAUUCUUUCACUUUUUAUAGAGCAUGUUUAUUACAAAUCUGGUGUCACAGUUGCAAUGGUAGACCCAUUCCAAAGCCUAUGUAGGAUGAGUAAUAAUAAUUGAUUGAAUUCAUAGACCGCUUUUCAUGACAACACGGGCAACAAUGUGUUCUAUGUUUAGUUUUAACACCAAUGACCCUUGGAAAAUCUGCGGGAUGGAUUAGGCUAUUUAUAAUUUUUAUCAUGUUGCCUAGUCUUAUUAAUGAAUUAGUAAAACACUCACCACAACCUACUGUACCUGUGUAACGGAUGUGAAACGGCUAGCUUAGUUAGCAGUGGUGCGAGCUAAAUAGCAUUUCAAUCGGUGACAUCACUUGCUCUGAGACCUUGAAGUAGUAGUUCCCCUUGCUCUGCAAGGGCUUUUUUUGUGGAGCGAUGGGUAACGAUGCUUCGUGUGUGCAGAGGGUCCCUGGUUCGUGCCCGGGUAUGGGCGAGGGGACGGUCUGAAGUUAUACUGUUACACCUGCAGUUCUGUAAACAUCCUCCUUGAUUAUAUGACAGGUUGAGGGCCAGGGAAUGCAACAAAGGCAUACAAAAUGGUAUUCAAUGCAAAGCAUACUCUUCUUUUGGCUCCACACACAGUUGCCUUUCCAAGUCGUUCGGCAUCGGUAACAUUGUACAGGAAACUAGUAAUACACAGAGUUUGUAGGCCUAUAGGAGUCAAAUCAAGCUUUUUUAUACAGCACAUUUCAGACAUGGAAUGCAACGCAAUGUGCUUUACAGGAGAAAACAAAUAAAAAACUAUGAAAAUAAAAGCUGAAAUAUUUACUACAUAACAAACAUAAGAUAAAAAUACAAAAGAAUGACAAACUGAAUGACUAAAAACCACCCUAAGGAAAAGCAAAGCUAAAAAUGUAUUUUAAUAUCUCUUUUAGGAUUUUCCGCAAAGGCACAUGCCAUAGUGACGGACAAGAAUCUGAUUGGAGGAGAAGCCUUGACUUAUUCACCAGGACAGGCUAUGAUCAAGUGAACCUAGUUGGUAACAGGUUUGCUUCAGAGCAUUCAUUGCUAUGGUUGUUAAUCAGACUAUACGUCGAGCUCUCUUUCUGGAACUGGAGUUGGCAAAAAUGUUGCUUUGACAGAUCUCGCUAACUCAUUAAUCCGGCUUUCUGGAAUACCCCUCAGGAACAGGGUUGGAGAGCCCUGCUGUAGACACAAAUACUAGACAGGCAAUCAAAACCGAGAUAUGACUGUAUACACUACGAUAUAUGUCACUGACUGUAAAUCAGAAAGUUGUUACUUAUCAUACCUGUUGAGACACUGGCCUGGUCUGUGUAUAAGGUGGUAUGACCGUGAGCUAGGCUCCUGUAUACUGACACUUCUCUAUAUGUGCAAUCAUCAGGGAUCAGAGGUUGCGGCUACUCGGAUUGGCCGACUGUACCUCCUCCAGUUUAGUCAACAGGGUGUGUCCGCCCCUCAAUGAGCUGCAGUGUUUUGACACAAGCUAUGUUAGAUCUACAAUUGUAUGAUGCAAACAGCUACAAAUACUUUUGUUUAUUCUUCCACUUGUUUGGCUUCUUCUUAAUAUCUGCUCCCAUGUCCAUUAUGUUAGUUUGUUUGGGCUAGGGUUGAAUAUCUGCUCCCAUGUCCAUUAUGUUAGUUUGUUUGGGCUAGGGUUGAAUAUCUGCUUCCAUGUCCAUUAUGUUAGUUUGUUUGGGCUAGGGUUGAAUAUCUGCUCCCAUGUCCAUUAUGUUAGUUUGUUUGGGCUAGGGUUGAAUAUCUGCUCCCAUGUCCAUUAUGUUAGUUUGUUUGGGCUAGGGUUGAAUAUCUGCUCCCAUGUCCAUUAUGUUAGUUUGUUUGGGCUAGAGUUGAAUAUCUGCUUCCAUGUCCAUUAUGUUAGUUUGUUUGGGCUAGGGUUGAAUAUCUGCUCCCAUGUCCAUUAUGUUAGUUUGUUUGGGCUAGGGUUGAAUAUCUGCUCUCAUGUCCAUUAUGUUAGUUUGUUUGGGCUAGGGUUGAAUAUCUGCUCCCAUGUCCAUUAUGUUAGUUUGUUUGGGCUAGGGUUGAAUAUCUGCUCUCAUGUCCAUUAUGUUAGUUUGUUUGGGCUAGUGUUGAAUAUCUGCUCCCAUGUCCAUUAUGUUAGUUUGUUUGGGCUAGGGUUGAAUAUCUGCUCCCAUGUCCAUUAUGUUAGUUUGUUUGGGCUAGGGUUGAAUAUCUGCUUCCAUGUCCAUUAUGUUAGUUUGUUUGGGCUAGGGUUGAAUAUCUGCUCCCAUGUCCAUUAUGUUAGUUUGUUUGGGCUAGGGUAGCAAAACCUUUCCAAAACUCCCUGGUUUUCCAGAUAUCCCAGUUGAAACAUUACUUGAUUCAGGAGGGAAUGAGCACAAAAUCCGCAAUCCUCCAAACAGGAUAUGUGAAAAAUGAUUACAUUCCCCUCCUGUUAGGGUUACCAAUCCUAUUGUGUGUGUCUGUCUGUCUGUCUGUCUAUGUUUCUUUGCCCCUGUGUGAUGGUGUGUACACUUUGACUUCACUAGAUGGCAAGGGUUAUCAUGUAUUUGGAUCAGACGGAUUCUGUGACGAAAUCACAUUACAUUUUUAUUUAGGCAACAGGACAUAUAAUAUACAGUACAGAGUUGAUGUGCAGGGGUACGAGGUAAUUUAGGUAGAUAUGUACAUAUAUGUAAGGGUACGAGGUAAUUCAGGUAGAUAUGUACAUAUAUGUAGGGGUACGAGGUAAUUCAGGUAGAUAUGUACAUAUAUGUAGGGGUACGAGGUAAUUCAGGUAGAUAUGUACAUAUAUGUAGGGGUACGAGGUAAAUCAGGUAGAUAUGUACAUACAUGUAGGGUACGAGGUAAUUCAGGUAGAUAUGUACAUAUAUGUAGGGGUACGAGGUAAUUCAGGUAGAUAUGUACAUAUAUGUAGGGGUACGAGGUAAUUCAGGUAGAUAGUAUGAGGUAAUUCAGGUAGAUAUGUACAUAUAUGUAGGGGUACGAGGUAAUUCAGGUAGAUAUGUACAUAUAUGUAGAGGUACGAGGUAAUUCAGGUAGAAAUGCCUUUUAUUUUCACCGUUGUAAUAUAACCCUUGUGUUCAUCAAGCUCACAUCUACAUGAUCAGUCAGUCUGUCAACAUAAAGUGUUACUUCUCUUCAUAGUGCACUAAAUUCCCUUAUUCCCUUCAUAGUGCACUAAAUUAGAGGACUACCAUAGUAUGGUGCACUACAAAAGUAGAGAGAGAAUAUGUUGCCGUUUGGGACACACCUGAUGUGAUGGACAAAUUGAUGUCAAGCCCUUAGGCUGCUCGUUAUAGCUAUAGGAGAGAGAGAAUUCCCAAUGGCAUCAGACUGAGGCUCUGCAUCUGUCCUUGUGCUCCUAGACCUUAGUGCUGCUUUUGAUACCAUCGAUCACCACAUUAUUUUGGAGAGAUUGGAAACCCAAAUUGGUCUAGACGGACAAGUUCUGGCCUGGUUUAGAUCUUAUCUGUCGGAAAGAUAUCAGUUUGUCUCUGUGAAUGGUAAAUUGCGGUGUUCCUCAAGGUUCCGUUUUAGGACUACUAUUGUUUUCACAAUAUAUUUUACCUCUUGGGGAUGUCAUUCGAAAACAUAAUGUUAACUUUCACUGCUAUGCGGAUGACACACAGCUGUACAUUUCAAUGAAACAUGGUGAAGCCCCAAAAUUGCCCUCGCUAGAAGCAUGUGUUUCAGACAUAAGGAAGUGGAUGGCUGCAAACGUUCUACUUUUAAACUCAGACAAAACAGAGAUGCUUGUUCUAGGUCCCAAGAAACAAAGAGGUCUUCUGUUGAAUCUGACAAUUAAUCUUAAUGGUUGUACAGUCGUCUCAAAUAAAACUGUGAAGGACCUCGGCGUUACUCUGGACCCUGAUCUCUCUUUUGAAGAACAUAUCAAGACUUUCAAGGACAGAUUUUUUCCAUCUACGUAACAUUGCAAAAAUCAGAAACUUUCGGUCCAAAAAUUAAUCCAUGCUUUUGUCACUUCUAGGUUAGGCUACUGCAAUGCUCUACUUUCCGGCUACCCGGAUAAAGCACUAAAUAAACUUCAGUUAGUGCUAAAUACGGCUGCUAGAAUCCUGACUAGAACCAAAAAAUUUGAUCAUAUUACUCCAGUGCUAGCCUCCCUACACUGGCUUCCUGUCAAGGCAAGGGCUGAUUUCAAGGUUUUACUGCUAACCUACAAAGCAUUACAUGGGCUUGCUCCUACCUAUCUCUCUGAUUUGGUCCUGCCAUACAUACCUACACGUACGCUACGGUCACAAGACGCAGGCCUCCUAAUUGUCCCUAGAAUUUCUAAGCAAACAGCUGGAGGCAGGGCUUUCUCCUAUAGAGCUCCAUUUUUCUGGAAUGAUCUGCCUACCCAUGUGAGAGACGCAAACUCGGUCUCAACCUUUAAGUCUUUACUGAAGACUCAUCUCUUCAGUGGGUCAUAUGAUUGAGUGUAGUCUGGCCCAGGAGUGUGAAGGUGAACGGAAAGGCUCUGGAGCAACGAACCGCCCUUGCUGUCUCUGCCUGGCCGGUUCCCCUCUUUCCACUGGGAUUCUCUGCCUCUAACCCUAUUACAGGGGCUGAGUCACUGGCUUACUAGGGCUCUUUUAUACCGUCCAUAGGAGGGGUGCGUCACUUGAGUGGGUUGAGUCACUGAUGUGAUCUUCCUGUCUGGGUUGGCGCACCCCUUGGGUGGUGCCGUGGCGGAGAUCUUUGUGGGCUAUACUCGGCCUUGUCUCAGGAUGGUAAGUUGGUGGUUGAAGAUAUCCCUCUAGAGGUGUGGGGGCUGUGCUUUGGCAAAGUGGGUGGGGUUAUAUCCUUCCUGUUUGGCCCUGUCCGGGGGUGUCAUCGGAUGGGGCCACAGUGUCUCCUGACCCCUCCUGUCUCAGCCUCCAGUAUUUAUGCUGCAGUAGUUUGUGUGGGGGUCUAGGGUCAGUUUGUUAUCUGGAGUACUUCUCCUGUCCUAUCCGGUGUCCUGUGUGAAUUUAAGUAUGCUCUCUCUAAUUCUCUCUUUCUCUCUCUCUGAGGACCUGAGCCCUAGGACCAUGCCUCAGGACUACCUGGCAUGAUGAUUCCUUGCUGUCCCCAGUCCACCUGGCCGUGCUGCUGCUCCAGUUUCAACUGUUCUGCCUGUGAUUAUUAUUAUUUGACCAUGCUGGUCAUUUAUGAACAUUUGAACAUCUUGGCCAUGUUCUGUUAUAAUCUCCACCCGGCACAGCCAGAAGAGGACUGGCCACCCCACAUAGCUUGGUUCCUAGGUUUUGGCCUUUCUAGGGAUUUUUUCCGAGCCACCGUGCUUCUACACCUGCAUUGCUUGCUGUUUGGGGUUUUAUGCUGGGUUUCUGUACAGCACUUUGAGAUAUCAGCUGUAUGAAGGGCUAUAUAAAUACAUUUGAUUUGAUUUGAUUAUUCACUUGAGUGAUCGUAUGGGCCAUAGGAUCACUCCUGUGAAUAAUGGGAAUUAUCUCUCCUGUAGCUAUGACGAGCAGGUGCUCCUAUGGGUUGAGAGAAAUAUGUGCCAGCCUCUAAGUCCAGAUGCCCUGAGUGGAGGAGUGUGGAGACUGAAAUGCUAUCCUACCCAUGAGCACCUGCUGUUGGCUGCUUGCAUGCACAUCGACUUCCACAUCCUUAACUGCCAGCAAGCCCUGGUGGAGGAGCGUGUUCUGUCCUAGCCGACAUCCUUCACAACUCUCUGGCCUACGGGGUCGACUUGGCCAACCUUUCCCUGGAGGAGCCUGCUCCCCCCUGGAGAGUUUUUUGACUUGUUGGUCAAGCCCAUGAAAUCAGAAGUCAGAGGAAUUGAUGUGAUAUCUCACCAUAGAGGAUUGUUUAAGUCAACUACUACUAGAGGUCGGCCGAUUAAUUAGGGCCGAUUUCAAGUUUUCAUAACAAUUGGUAAUCUGCCUUUUUGGACGCCGUUUAUGGACGAUUGCAUUGCACUCCACGAGGAGACUGCAUGGCAGGCUGACCACCUGUUACGCAAGUGCAGCAUCAAAAGGACCUUGUGGCUGCAAGGAGCCAAGGUAAGUUGCUAGCUAGCAUUAAACUUAUCUUAUAAAAACAGUCUUCACAUAAUCAAAAUUAACUAAACAUGGUUGAUGAUAUUACUAGUUUAAUUAUCUCGUCCUGCGUUGCAUAUAAUCAAAGUGGUGCCUGUUAAUUUAUCAUCGAAUCACAGCCUACUUCGACUUCGCCAAAUGGGUGAUGAUUUAACAAAAUGUCACAGCUUUCUUCCUGGGAAGGAGAGGCGGACCAAAACGCAGCGUGGUUAUAGUUCAUGGUUCUUUAAUAAGAAAACAUGAACAAACUACAAAACAAUAAACGUGAAAACCGUAACAGUCCUAACUGGUACAUAAAACACAAAGACAGGAAACAAUCACCCACAAAAUACCCAAAGAAUAUGGCUGCCUAAAUAUGGCUCCCAAUCAGAGACAACGAUAAACACCUGCCUCUGAUUGAGAACCAAUCCAGGCAACCAUAGACUUACCUAGACACAUAAAACAACACAACCCCAUAAAUCUACAAAAACGCCUAGACAAGACAAAACACAUAAAUCACCCAUUUCACACCCUGGCCUAACCAAAAUAAUAAAGAAAACAAAGAUAGCUAAGACCAGGGCGUGACACAAAAGCACAUUUGCGAAAAAGCACAAUCGUUGCACAAAUGUACCUAACCAUAAUAAUCAAUGCCUUCCUUAAAAUCAAUACACAGAAUUAUAUAUUUUUAAACCUGCAUAUUUAGUUAAAAGAAACGCAUGUUAGCAGGCAAUAUUAACUAGAAAACUGUCACUUCUCUUGAGUUCAGUGCAAGCGGUUCUGUAUUUCACUGAAAGGAUAAACUUUUUGUUUUCUAAAUUAUAGUUUCCGGAUUUGACCAUAUUGAUGACAAAAGGCUCGUAUUUCGGUAUGUUUAUUAUAAUUAAGUCUAUGAUUUUAUAUUUGAUAGAGCAGUCUGACUGAGUGGUGUUAGGCAGCAGCAGGCUCAUAAGCAUUCAUUCAAACAGCACUUUACUGCAUUUGCCAGCAGCUCUUCACAAUGCUUCAAGCAUUGCGCUGUUUAUGACUUCAAGCCUAUCAACUCCCGAGAUUAGGCUGGCAAUACUAUAGUGCCUAUAAGAACAUCCAAUAGUCAAAGGUAUAUGAAAUACAAAUGGUAUAGAGAGAAAUAGUUGACGCGUCAUAAUUCCUAUAAUAACUCCAACCUAAAACUUCUUAACUGGGAAUAUUGAAGACUCAUGUUAAAAGGAAUCACCAGCUUUCAUAUGUUCUCAUGUUCUGAGCAAGGAACUUAAAUGUUAGCUUUUUUACAUGGCACAUAUUGCACUUUCACUUCUCCAACACUUUGUUUUUGCAUUAUUUAAACCAAAUUGAACAUGUUUCAUUAUUUAUUUGAGGCUAAAUAUAUUUUAUUGAUGUAUUAUAUUAAGUUAAAAUAAAAGUGUUCAUUGUUCAUUCAG
Oncorhynchus nerka (sockeye salmon) is the source of this 8223-nucleotide long non-coding RNA. RefSeq lists it as uncharacterized. The transcript has 2 exons. The record is from RefSeq and is a predicted model, not a curated record. NCBI's taxonomy places the organism in Eukaryota, Metazoa, Chordata, Actinopteri, Salmoniformes, Salmonidae.